Molecule: long non-coding RNA, 2070 nt
Filed under: Phoenix dactylifera (date palm)
Lineage: Eukaryota; Viridiplantae; Streptophyta; Magnoliopsida; Arecales; Arecaceae
Description: long non-coding RNA (PDAC_LNC006680)
Source: RNAcentral
GGAAUCCGGGAUCCUGAGGGCAGGGGACAACCUAAUAUUUGGCAUUUUGUGUUCUUUUGUGUAAAGUGACUGUUUCAAGAAUUUCUUUGCGCUAGUCAGCUCUAGCCUUUUACCAUUGCACUAAGCGAUAGCCCCUACAUCCAUGCAUCCACACAUAUAAGCAUUUUGAAGACUUUUAUUUUUUCCUUGUUUGCUUGGCAGUUUGCCGGAGGUCAGACGAUGUGUGCUUUUGGGGAGCUUAGAGAGCGGAUUCAAUCAAAAGGAAGAGGAUCAAAGGAUCUGCUUCCUAUUACCACAAUGUCUUGGCAUAGCAUCAUAGGUUCCCAGAAAUAAUUUAAGGUGGAAGGCAAGCUAGGGGUGACAUCGAAAGUGUUAGCUUGAAAUGUUGUAAGAUGAUAAUACGCGCAUGAUAGUUGGCCAAGUAACUGGUUUUUCUAAGAGUUUGGAUUCGGUUGUCAGAACUGGGAGCAUUAUCUGUAGUUCAUUGUGUGUUGGCUCAUGUGAGACCCAAUUAGACAAUUAUGUGGUAGGGGCUUGGAGCUUUGUUAGAGGAGUACAAUAAAUUGCAGCAUUGGACCUCCAAAUAAGUUGAAUGUUAUGAGCCUUAUAGCAUCUAUUUCGACAAAACUACCAUGCUAGCUUUUCCAUUCUUGUGAAAGUUUUUCCUUGGACUUGUUUCUAAGUAUGUGGCACAAGGGUAGCAACCCUUUAAUGAGGCUCUCAUGGGUUUUUUUUUUAUUGAAAGAUCUACAUCUCUCGUAUCCAAGAUUGGAUAAAGAUUUAAAUAUAAUGGCAGAAAUCAGAAUGCUAGAAAUUGGCAAAUUGUAGGAACAUAGUUAAAAAUUUUUUUUGACGCAAACAGGAAUGGGAGGUUGCUGAAACUUGGAUGAUGGCGGCUGAUUUCUCUUCUUUUUUUUCUUUUUUUUUGCCAAUGGCGGCUAGGGUUUCUUGUGGAUGGAGAAAGGAUGAAGAUGAUGAAUGGCUAGUGGGUUCAAUGGGGUUCAAUGGAUGGUGGCCGAAAUUGGGGAUUGUGUUUGAUUGGACUAAGGGCGGAUGGAGUUUGGUUGGGACCCAAAUCCGAUUGGAUCUGGGCAUGAGGUUUGGAGGCAUGAAAGGGGUUUUGGAGUUCUAAUGGGAGUAGGAUUAUAGAUGGCAUGAGCAAAGGAUGGCGUGGAAUAGGAGAGGAUAAGUAUGGAGUCGAAUGAGAGAGUCUCACCCUCGCUUAAUCCAAUAGUUGGCGUGAAGAGAAGGCGUCUUACCUAUUCCCUUCAACCCCUCUUGGCGUCGCACCAAGGAAGAGAAGAAUCCCUCUUCUCACGUAAAAGGCUCUCAAGGCUUUCAAAAAACUUAAUUAAUCAAUCUUUCUUCUCUAAAUUUUAUUCUUCAACCUCUCCUUUAUAUAGAGUAAGAGGAUGAAAAAUGCAGGACUCUUACAAUCUGAAAUUUAAGACUCCUUCUAAACAUUGACUCCUCCUAAACAUGAACUCCUUCUAAAUAUAGACUCUUUUAAUUGACUAAGUCAACUAAUUAGCUAGGACUCCCACUUGACUUUAGCUAAGAGUACAAGACAACUAGGAUUCUUCCCACACGCUACAAAAACAAAAUGAAUAGACUCAAAACUCAUAAGGACUCUUCAACACCUUGGACCCAAUGUGGUUUAGGUAUCGGACACUAACUCAAGAGGACUUGACAUGACCCAAAUCAAAGGACUCAAUCCAUACACACGCCCAAGAUGAUUUGGGCUCAAUGCUCCUACAUCAGUUCCCUCCUACUGCGAAAGAACUCGGCUCCGUCGAGUUACGCGACUGAUAGAGCUCAUACAGGUCUGGGUUUAGGUGUUGGACCUCUUUCGUCUUCAGUCACGAACAAUCUGAAAGAGGUCGGUUCUUUGGAUUGGGUUGGUUUAGUAAGGUCAUAUUGGGUAGUACUAUAUUAAUCAGGUUAGAUUAAGGUUGCAAAUGGGUCGGGUCGACUCGAGUCCCGACUCGGCCCGAUCCACGUAGACCCGACCUAAUCCGAAUUUUAGGACCCGCAGGUCCGGGUCGAGUUCUAAAAUUGGACCCGAAUCAU